ACCCUUUCGACUCAGUAGUAGAGUAAUGCCAUGGUAAGGCGUAAGUCAUCGGUUCAAGUCCGGUAAAGGGCU
Molecule: non-coding RNA, 72 nt
Organism: Picea glauca (white spruce)
Lineage: Eukaryota; Viridiplantae; Streptophyta; Pinopsida; Pinales; Pinaceae
Source: Rfam